AGUGAACGCUGGCGGUAGGCCUAACACAUGCAAGUCGAACGGCAGCACAGUAAGAGCUUGCUCUUACGGGUGGCGAGUGGCGGACGGGUGAGGAAUACAUCGGAAUCUACUUUUUCGUGGGGGAUAACGUAGGGAAACUUACGCUAAUACCGCAUACGACCUACGGGUGAAAGCAGGGGAUCUUCGGACCUUGCGCGAUUGAAUGAGCCGAUGUCGGAUUAGCUAGUUGGCGGGGUAAAGGCCCACCAAGGCGACGAUCCGUAGCUGGUCUGAGAGGAUGAUCAGCCACACUGGAACGGAGACACGGUCCAGACUCCUGCGGGAGGCAGCAGUGGGGAAUAUUGGACAAUGGGCGCAAGCCUGAUCCAGCCAGACCGCGUGGGUGGAGAAGGCCUUCGGGUUGUAAAGCCCUUUUGUUGGGAAAGAAAAGCAGCAGGUUAAUACCCCGCUGUUCUGACGGUACCCAAAGAAUAAGCACCGGCUAACUUCGUG
Molecule: ribosomal RNA, 492 nt
Filed under: uncultured bacterium
Lineage: Bacteria
Description: partial 16S ribosomal RNA
Rfam family: Bacterial small subunit ribosomal RNA
Source: RNAcentral